Molecule: long non-coding RNA, 325 nt
Filed under: Gossypium barbadense (sea-island cotton)
Lineage: Eukaryota; Viridiplantae; Streptophyta; Magnoliopsida; Malvales; Malvaceae
Description: long non-coding RNA (GBAR_LNC003330)
Source: RNAcentral
GUGCAUACAGAAUACCAAUCCUUCAAUCCUACAACUGAAGAAGAAAAAGUCAACUAUAUGGGUAAAAAUAACUUUGGAUUUCAAAAUAACCCAUACAGUAAUACCUAUAAUGCAGGUUGGAGGAACCACCCAAAUUUCUCCUAGGGUGGUCAAGGGAAUCAAAAGACACAAAAUCCUCAAGUUUUCAACAGCCACCUUAUCAACAAGAGAAGAAACCAAACCUUGAAGAGAUGCUUUCUAAAUUCAUCUCGAUGUCAGAAACCCGUUUCCAAAAUAUCGAGACAGCACUUAAGAAUCAACAAGCAUCAAUCCAAGGACUCGAAAC